GGGCAACCUGCCCUGGAGAUGGGGAUAGCCCGCCGAAAGGCGGAUUAAUACCUGAUGAGGCUACCGGAUGCAUAUUCGGGACGCUAAAGGUGGUGCAAGCUACCGCUCUGGGAUGGGCCCGCGGCCUAUCAGCUAGUUGGUGAGGUUACGGCUCACCAAGGCGAUGACGGGUAGCUGGUCUGAGAGGACGACCAGCCACACUGGAACUGAGACACGGUCCAGACACCUACGGGUGGCAGCAGUCGAGAAUUUUUCUCAAUGGGGGAAACCCUGAAGGAGCGACGCCGCGUGGAGGAUGAAGGUUUUCGGAUUGUAAACUCCUGUCAUUGGUGAACAAAGGAACCGGUUAACUGCCUGGUUCUCUGCUAGUAGCCGAAGAGGAAGGGACGGCUAACUCUGUGCCAGCAGCCGCGGUAAUACAGAGGUCCCGAGCGUUGUUCGGAUUCAUUGGGCGUAAAGGGUGCGUAGGCGGCGGGGUAAGUCUGAUGUGAAAUCCCGGAGCUCAACUCCGGAACUGCAUUGGAUACUGCCUUGCUAGAGUACUGGAGAGGAAACUGGAAUUUACGGU
This 568-nucleotide ribosomal RNA is filed under the name uncultured bacterium. RNAcentral's name for it is "bacterial SSU rRNA". It matches the Rfam family "Bacterial small subunit ribosomal RNA", at positions 119 to 674 of the family's 1533-position model. The record is from RNAcentral.